UUUUCCCUGCAUGGUGCGUAAAGAUUGAAAUUUUAUUACCAACAAAUAAAAAAGGGGAGUCCGACUUUGAAAGUGGCGUGUAGGCUUACAUUUAUUUAUGUAAGAAACCCAGGAACUUUCAACAAGACACCCACCUGUGCAAACAGGUAUAAAAAUUUCUUUCAUCGUACGGCCAAUGUGGGGACUUU
RNAcentral lists this non-coding RNA (188 nucleotides) under Clostridiaceae bacterium. RNAcentral's name for it is "6S RNA". It matches the Rfam family "6S / SsrS RNA". Rfam says of the family: E. coli 6S RNA was the first non coding RNA to be sequenced, but its function was unknown until recently. It consists of 184 nucleotides that fold into an extended hairpin structure with a large single-stranded internal bulge. The record is from RNAcentral. Lineage: Bacteria; Bacillati; Bacillota; Clostridia; Eubacteriales; Clostridiaceae.